UACGUAGGGUGCGAGCGUUAAUCGGAAUUACUGGGCGUAAAGCGUGCGCAGGCGGUUUUGUAAGCCAGAUGUGAAAGCCCCGGGCUUAACCUGGGAAUGGCAUUUGGGACUGCAAGGCUGGAGUGCGGCAGAGGAGACUGGAAUUCCUGGUGUAGCGGUGAAAUGCGCAGAUAUCAGGAGGAACACCGGUGGCGAAGGCGGGUCUCUGGGCCGUAACUGACGCUGAGGAGCGAAAGCAUGGGGAGCGAACAGG
RNAcentral lists this ribosomal RNA (253 nucleotides) under uncultured bacterium. RNAcentral's name for it is "partial 16S ribosomal RNA". It matches the Rfam family "Bacterial small subunit ribosomal RNA", at positions 524 to 776 of the family's 1533-position model. The record is from RNAcentral.